UUGACCUCAGAUCAGGUAGGAAUACCCGCUGAACUUAAGCAUAUCAAUAAGCGGAGGAAAAGAAACCAACAGGGAUUGCCCUAGUAACGGCGAGUGAAGCGGCAACAGCUCAAAUUUGAAAUCUGGCGCAAGCCCGAGUUGUAAUUUGUAGAGGAUGUUUCUGGCGACGUACCUUCCGAGUUCCCUGGAACGGGACGCCAUAGAGGGUGAGAGCCCCGUACGGUUGGUUGCCUAGCCUCUGUGAAACUCCUUCGACGAGUCGAGUAGUUUGGGAAUGCUGCUCUAAAUGGGAGGUAUACGUCUUCUAAAGCUAAAUACCGGCCAGAGACCGAUAGCGCACAAGUAGAGUGAUCGAAAGAUGAAAAGCACUUUGAAAAGAGGGUUAAAUAGUACGUGAAAUUGUUGAAAGGGAAGCGUUUAUGACCAGACUUGGGCAGGUUGAUCAUCCGUGGUUCUCCGCGGUGCACUCUGCCUGCCCAGGCCAGCAUCAGUUCAGUUCGGGGGAUAAAGGCUUCGGGAAUGUAGCUCCCUCGGGAGUGUUAUAGACCGUUGCGUGAUACCCUGAUCUGGACUG
RNAcentral lists this ribosomal RNA (574 nucleotides) under Clonostachys candelabrum. RNAcentral's name for it is "eukaryotic LSU rRNA". It matches the Rfam family "Eukaryotic large subunit ribosomal RNA", at positions 1 to 588 of the family's 3401-position model. Lineage: Eukaryota; Fungi; Ascomycota; Sordariomycetes; Hypocreales; Bionectriaceae. The record is from RNAcentral.